Molecule: long non-coding RNA, 1088 nt
Organism: Labeo rohita (rohu)
Lineage: Eukaryota; Metazoa; Chordata; Actinopteri; Cypriniformes; Cyprinidae
Exons: 3
Source: RefSeq, a predicted model, not a curated record
AUUGGGUUAUUGCUCAUGAUGGAGGUAAACCAGUGGAAACAUAAUGUAACAGUCAUGUGUGUCUGUGUGCCAGUUUGACUGCUGUGGCAUCGGUGAACCGGUUCAUCGGUCGGUGCGUGACACCUGUCCAGAAGGCACUUCGAAACGCUGCCCCGAUGCGAUCAGGGACAUGUUCAAGUCAAAAGCGCCUCUGGUGUUGGGUGGGUUCCUAGGGAUGGCAGGAAUCAUGAUGUUGGCACUGGUGUGCAGUGUCUUCCUCAGCAGACUUCCUAAGCAGACUCAUGGAUUCUCUCCUGAAUUUGUAGCCUAUUGGGAAAGGGUACAUAGGGAUUGUAUUCAAGAUUUGUGUCUUACAUUAGUGAAAAGUUAGUAGUUAACACCUAUGCAGGUAAUGCACGGUUACCAUGGACACAAACUAGUGCUGGGCAGUUUGACCAAAAAUCUGAAUGACUUUUUUUUUUGUUUUGUUUUGUUUUGUUUUUGGAUUCUGAUGGUUUCACAGUUUAUCAUGGGUUGUCCCAGGGUGGGCCUUAAUAAAAGUCAAAAUGCAUGAAACAACUAUAGAACCACUUUGAUCUCUGUCCAAAGAAAGAUGCUAAAUGUAACAUGUGCAGUUUUUAAUGUGAAUUAGAUCAUUUUAUAUAAUUUUACAAUUUAAAGCAAAGUAUGGUCUGGUUUUAGCUUUGUGAAAUUAUGCUACGUAAAACAUAUCUGCAUGAAACAAAAACAGCAGAAGGACUGAAUGAAAAUGCCAGCAGGUGGCGCUUGUUGAGCAGCAGCAAUACAGAGGCCAAGGGGGCAGCAUUUAAACCACAUAAAAUGAAAAGGGCCACAAAUUAUAAUUUGCUUUUUAAGACUUUAAGGCAAUAUUUUUUGCAACAAAAUGUUGCAAAUUUGAGAGCUCAUAUACAGGUUACAGAUUACAUUGAGCUGUCACCUUCAAACCCAACACCUCUUGGACUACAUUCAGUCAUGUGUCUCUACAAACUGUCAAGGAGGUGAUCACAAAAUGAAAGCUCUCACUGAUCCCUCUGUUUUAAAAACUUAUCGGCCAAUUUUGGCUUUACCAUUUAUUUUGAAAGUAAUGG